RNA transcript from Helicoverpa zea (corn earworm), 3003 nucleotides. It is a transcript of the gene named Hermansky-Pudlak syndrome 1 protein homolog, with no coding region annotated. Lineage: Eukaryota; Metazoa; Arthropoda; Insecta; Lepidoptera; Noctuidae. The record is from RefSeq and is a predicted model, not a curated record. The transcript has 12 exons.
CUGGCAGUCACUGUCACUGUUAUUAAAUUAUCUGAAAACAAUUCGGUGCAUUUUAUUAAAUGGAUUUGUGAUGAUGCCUGCAGUGUUGUGUUUGUGAUUGGUGCUGGAUCAUUGCACAGUGAAAGCCAAUAUUGUUAUAAUAAAUUAAGGCAUUAUCUUAGAUUGAGUACGCUUUACAAAUAAAUACAAAUCUGUCGUAAUUUGUGUAGUAAAACAUUAGCUCUACAACAUUUGCAGUUAAUGGAUGAUUUAAAACUAGUUUUAGCGUAAUUUAAUAAUAACAAGAAACUUCUGUAAAUGCCAUAAGUCAGCUUAUUUCCCUCUGGUUCAAUUAAUAAUAUCGUGAAAUAGUGUUCCAACUUCUAAGCAAGAUUUGUAUUGGAUCAUAAACAGCCAUAACAACACAAAAAUGAAGGCUGCUUUGAUAUUUGACACUGUUAAUGAUUUGGUGUUUGGUAAAUGGGAUUCCACAUUUAUAGAGCGAAUGAAAACAUUCAGUAUACAGGAGAAUCAAAAUGAUGUGACAGAGAACAAUACUGUGUCUCAACUGCUUGCCCCUAUCAUAACAUCCCAGCGUGUUAUGGCAGCACAAUUUGGUAAUACAUACUCUUCUAUACAGUGCAAGGAUAAAACUACAAUUGUCUUUGAUGAGUGGCUAGAUCAUGUGUUCAUGAUUAUAAGCGAAGACUAUGUUGAUGAUGCCCAUAGAGAACUCUUGGACUUCAAAACUUUUGUGCAACACAUUUGUGGCCAAAACAUUAAUCUUCUACAUUCUUCCAUAUAUCAAGACUGGCUCUCGGUUCUCUUGGACUGUCGCACCAAAGGAGAUACCAUUCCUGGUGCCAAUGGGGUCAUUGGUGAAAGUGGCGCUACUACAUCUGCACUUAAUGCGCUUAAAAAUGUUUCAAAAAGUGUCAAGUUGCCAUACAACCACAGUCAUCUUAUGUUAUUUGUUGGAGACAAGCUACUAGCACUUUAUUCCAGUCGCGGAACUGAAGACCUGUCGCCACCCGACCUCAUUUUAUUGAGCAUCCAAUGCAUCGCUGCGCAAGAGUAUUGGUUGGAAGUUCAAAAUGAGGACAACAAUCCUGAUAAUCAAGAAAUUAUUCGAUUGCCUUGGUUGUCAACGGAAAACAGCGCAGUGGUGAAUUUAUGCGCGGGGCCUGGGGCCAGCCCCUGUGCACCACAUUCCAUACAUUUAGCGGAAAUUGCGCCCAGAAUUACGUUUGCUGUCGUUGUUGAUUUGGAUUUGAGAGAAACCGGCAUUUCAGCAUACAUGUCAAACCAAAUAUUAUCCAAUUUAAGACGACUGCUGUUGCAAAGGAAUUUAGAGCUGCUGCCCAAUACAUUGGAUUCUUUAGAAGCAGCAUUAAAAAAGACCACAGAUGCCUUACGUAAAAAUAAAGCGAAUGCAAGCCUCUGUGCUCGGCUUACAAGUCGUAUGUUGGAACUUCGUAAAUCGUGCACUACCACGACCCCGUUAACUCCUGAAACCACGGCAACGGCCAUGCAUACGGCAUUAGAAGCGGUCAUAGAACAGUUGAAGCCCGACAUACCGAGUUUGAAAAUGGAAAAGGCUUUGAAAGACCUGAAAGGAAUAUUGUCACCGUACGUCGAAUUUCUUGGGGUGAAAGCGAAGAGAUACUUCAGCAUGGCAUCGAGCACGGGUGAGACGGAUGCGAGUUGUUCCCUAACGCUGCACAAGUAUGUGGAGGAGUUCCCCGGACUCAUCCACUUCAUCUACGUGGACCGCACCGCUGGAAGGUUCCUCGCACCCGAUAUGGCUGAUUGCGCUGACAUGCUCGCUCCGGAUACGGUACUACGCGCAGUAUGCCGCAGCUUCGCGGUAGUGCGCGAGGGCUACUGCGCGGCCACGUGGCGGCGCGGGGCGCUGCACGGCUGCGCGCUGGUGUGGUGGGAGCGCCGCGGCCAGCCCGUGCGGCCCGCCGUGCCGCCGCACCCGGCCGCUGUACGAGCGCUACCACCGCCAGGGGACAUUCGCGGAAGCUUCUACAGGCAACUACUAGAGCUCGCAUUCCCGGGAGAUUCCCGCGGCGUGUCCGUGAAGGAACUGAUCUGCAUCCACCUGGGUCUACUGCCCGCGUCGACAGCAGUGCAACAAGCGCGCAGACUCGCUCACUCGGUACAUGAGCUGGCGGGCGACGUUGCUACCGGCGCUGCCGAUCUGCUUUAAACCCUAACUUAAAAAAAAACAGCAGAAAUCCUUUUUGGGCAGCCUGUAUCUAAACUUGCCGUACCUUUUAGUUUAUGGUAACUUUAGCGUAAGCUUGACGUCGUAGGGUAGCAGUAGAUUUAAGGGAUGAAAUUGUAUUGAAAGUAUCCAUGUAGUUUAGGAAUAAGACUAGAUGAGCAAUGUGCAUCAUAAUCUCCACAAUGUUGACUAAACGGAAGGUGUUGAAGUACUUGGAUGAUAAUAGUGAUGCUUCUUAUUCUAGGCCGGUGAUAUAUAGCCUCUGCGUCCCAUUUUAGGGCCUGCACUAGAGAACCCCUUCAUGGCCACACUCAGGCCCAAGUUAACUGACAACAUAAAUGUCCGUUUCUCUUAAACGGACGGUAAAGUGAGCCAAUACUGUUUUAAUUAGACUUUUAUCGUAACAUAUGCUAGUCCAAGAGUUAUUCGUUUAUGUUUGUAAAUGUAGAAAGUUAAGAGACAUGACAUUCCGGAUCUUACAUUCCAGAAUUAGUAAAGAUUCCAAUACUUGUCUGGAAAGGUGCCAAGUAAGAGAAGAUAAACAUCCCUAGGGAGUGUUACAAGAACUCGAUUAGAUUUUAUUGGGAGUGAGGAAGGGAGACGCACUGACUACUACCCUUCCUUCUAUUAUAUUUCUAUAAAAUACUUAUUGCCUGUAUUAAAAGUAUUUUACGUUUUGUAUUUUAUUAAUCAAUUUAAAUGUUUAUUAUUAUUUAUGUGUUGAAAAUGACAUUUUUGUGGCAUGUUUUUUUUUAUUAAAUUUAUUAUGAAUAAAAAUUCAAUUAUAGAAA